This 71-nucleotide transfer RNA is filed under the name Marmota monax (woodchuck). RNAcentral describes it as "tRNA.Ala". The stretch from base 1 to 63 matches the Rfam family "tRNA". Rfam says of the family: Transfer RNA (tRNA) molecules are approximately 80 nucleotides in length. The record is from RNAcentral. Lineage: Eukaryota; Metazoa; Chordata; Mammalia; Rodentia; Sciuridae.
GGGGAUGUGGCUCAGUGGUAGAGCACUUGCCCAGCGUGUGCAAGGCCCUGGGUUCCAUCCCCAGCACUUCA